Molecule: long non-coding RNA, 1219 nt
Organism: Tympanuchus pallidicinctus (lesser prairie-chicken)
Lineage: Eukaryota; Metazoa; Chordata; Aves; Galliformes; Phasianidae
Exons: 3
Source: RefSeq, a predicted model, not a curated record
CUGUAUCCAGGCUAGCUUAAAAAUGCAGACAUGUUGCCAGCUGACUAGUAAGACGUUCUUCUUUCAACCUUGUUUUAAGAGGCCCCUGGUUUCUUGGAAGUGGGGGAGUGCAGCACUGAGGAGCAACGGGAAGAUGUUCUACACAUGGAGCAUGGGCAGAUGCAGCUGCUCUAGGAUCCUCUGGGCAUCUGUUUUCAUUAAAACUUCACUUGUGCAUUUGACCUAUCAGCUGGAUUCAGCAUAUGUCACUGGUAAAGGGCCAUGCCAUCCCAGUGAAGUGCAAGUGGAGAGAGAGAAGUGAGCUGUAGAAGAGACAAGAGCCUCAUGAUCUGCACUUGUCUGAUGCAGGAACAAGUACAGAGGAUGGAUAGAGUCAGAGCUUGAACACUGAAAAUAACGAACAACAUUUACAUGAAACACUAGCUGCCACUAGCUUCACAUUCAUCUAUCAGGUGACCAAAAUCUCAAUCUGAAUUUUUAGUCUGAGCUUCUAUCUUUCUGUGGUCUCUUUACAACAAUUGCAUCCUCUUCCUUUCUGUGGCCUUCAGAUCAGUCUUUGCAACUUCUAAGUGGCGGACGAAGGAAAUCCCUAUUGCUUGAAACAGCUCUACCUGUCUAUAUGAACUUGCCACAUGGUUUCCUAAAAUACAAACUGACAAGGCCAUUUGUCUAUGAAAUGCUGCCUAAGUUGGUUUCAGAACUGGAGUGAUGAAGCCUGGUCCUAAUAGCUGUUUUCUCUUCCUUGUUGCCUUGUGUGUCAAGGAGUGUUAGCAGAGCCCUUCCCCAAAGCACAGCUAUGAAAUGAAGUACAAUGGAAUAUUCCUUGAGAAUUCUACUCAGAUGUGAAAAGAAUAAGAGUAUUUUUAAAAACAGAUUUUAAGUUAAGUGGUUUGGCCUGAAAAGGUCAAAUAUGAAGAAGUGAUACUUUUGCUUUAUGUAAAAACUCAAUCACUUCUUUAAUACAUACAGCAUCAAAGUGGUUUAGUUGAACUAUGUUAAAUUACAAUUCUGUUCUUUUCUUGAUUAUAUUCAGAGUUACAAACUUGAGAUCUAUUGUUAAAUAGGGAUAUUUUUCACUGUUCAGGUAUGAAUAUUUAACAGUGCUAAAUUUCUAGGUAUACAGAUAAGCUAAUUUGAAAUUUUAAAUGAAUUAAAUGUUCAAUUUCUGAAAUGAUUUGUGAAGUCUUGCUUGAUUCUUGAGUGCUUCCAGGUGCUUCAA